UACGAAGGGGGCUAGCGUUGCUCGGAAUUACUGGGCGUAAAGCGCACGUAGGCGGAUUGUUAAGUCGGGGGUGAAAUCCUGGAGCUCAACUCCAGAACUGCCUUCGAUACUGGCGAUCUCGAGUUCGGGAGAGGUGAGUGGAACUGCGAGUGUAGAGGUGAAAUUCGUAGAUAUUCGCAAGAACACCAGUGGCGAAGGCGGCUCACUGGCCCGAUACUGACGCUGAGGCACGAAAGCGUGGGGAUCAAACAGG
This 253-nucleotide ribosomal RNA is filed under the name uncultured bacterium. RNAcentral's name for it is "partial 16S ribosomal RNA". It matches the Rfam family "Bacterial small subunit ribosomal RNA", at positions 524 to 776 of the family's 1533-position model. The record is from RNAcentral.